UACGUAGGCAGCAAGCGUUGUUCGGAGUUACUGGGCGUAAAGGGUGUGUAGGCGGUUCUUUAAGUUUGGUGUGAAAUCUCCCGGCUCAACCGGGAGGGUGCGCCGAAUACUGAGGGACUAGAGUGUGGGAGAGGAAAGUGGAAUUCCUGGUGUAGCGGUGAAAUGCGUAGAUAUCGGGAGGAACACCGGUGGCGAAGGCGGCGAUCUGGGUCGAUACUGACGCUGAGGUGCGAAA
This 235-nucleotide ribosomal RNA is filed under the name uncultured prokaryote. RNAcentral's name for it is "partial 16S ribosomal RNA". It matches the Rfam family "Bacterial small subunit ribosomal RNA", at positions 524 to 758 of the family's 1533-position model. The record is from RNAcentral.